This 23-nucleotide non-coding RNA is filed under the name Cricetulus griseus (Chinese hamster). Lineage: Eukaryota; Metazoa; Chordata; Mammalia; Rodentia; Cricetidae. The record is from RNAcentral.
UUCUUGGGGAUGAUGGGGCUUGC